RNAcentral lists this ribosomal RNA (1295 nucleotides) under Pediococcus pentosaceus. RNAcentral describes it as "bacterial SSU rRNA". It matches the Rfam family "Bacterial small subunit ribosomal RNA", at positions 65 to 1344 of the family's 1533-position model. Lineage: Bacteria; Bacillati; Bacillota; Bacilli; Lactobacillales; Lactobacillaceae. The record is from RNAcentral.
UACUUGUACUGAUUGAGAUUUUAACACGAAGUGAGUGGCGAACGGGUGAGUAACACGUGGGUAACCUGCCCAGAAGUAGGGGAUAACACCUGGAAACAGAUGCUAAUACCGUAUAACAGAGAAAACCGCAUGGUUUUCUUUUAAAAGAUGGCUCUGCUAUCACUUCUGGAUGGACCCGCGGCGUAUUAGCUAGUUGGUGAGGUAAAGGCUCACCAAGGCAGUGAUACGUAGCCGACCUGAGAGGGUAAUCGGCCACAUUGGGACUGAGACACGGCCCAGACUCCUACGGGAGGCAGCAGUAGGGAAUCUUCCACAAUGGACGCAAGUCUGAUGGAGCAACGCCGCGUGAGUGAAGAAGGGUUUCGGCUCGUAAAGCUCUGUUGUUAAAGAAGAACGUGGGUAAGAGUAACUGUUUACCCAGUGACGGUAUUUAACCAGAAAGCCACGGCUAACUACGUGCCAGCAGCCGCGGUAAUACGUAGGUGGCAAGCGUUAUCCGGAUUUAUUGGGCGUAAAGCGAGCGCAGGCGGUCUUUUAAGUCUAAUGUGAAAGCCUUCGGCUCAACCGAAGAAGUGCAUUGGAAACUGGGAGACUUGAGUGCAGAAGAGGACAGUGGAACUCCAUGUGUAGCGGUGAAAUGCGUAGAUAUAUGGAAGAACACCAGUGGCGAAGGCGGCUGUCUGGUCUGCAACUGACGCUGAGGCUCGAAAGCAUGGGUAGCGAACAGGAUUAGAUACCCUGGUAGUCCAUGCCGUAAACGAUGAUUACUAAGUGUUGGAGGGUUUCCGCCCUUCAGUGCUGCAGCUAACGCAUUAAGUAAUCCGCCUGGGGAGUACGACCGCAAGGUUGAAACUCAAAAGAAUUGACGGGGGCCCGCACAAGCGGUGGAGCAUGUGGUUUAAUUCGAAGCUACGCGAAGAACCUUACCAGGUCUUGACAUCUUCUGACAGUCUAAGAGAUUAGAGGUUCCCUUCGGGGACAGAAUGACAGGUGGUGCAUGGUUGUCGUCAGCUCGUGUCGUGAGAUGUUGGGUUAAGUCCCGCAACGAGCGCAACCCUUAUUACUAGUUGCCAGCAUUAAGUUGGGCACUCUAGUGAGACUGCCGGUGACAAACCGGAGGAAGGUGGGGACGACGUCAAAUCAUCAUGCCCCUUAUGACCUGGGCUACACACGUGCUACAAUGGAUGGUACAACGAGUCGCGAGACCGCGAGGUUAAGCUAAUCUCUUAAAACCAUUCUCAGUUCGGACUGUAGGCUGCAACUCGCCUACACGAAGUCGGAAUCGCUAGUAAUCG